UUUCUCCCCAAAACCCCUAAAACCUAAAAUGAGUAACAGAUCUUCCCUUUCUCCCCAAAACCCCUAAAACCUAAAAUAAGUAACAGACCUUCUUCUUCUUCUCGCCGUCGACCAACCAAUCCCGCCCAAUCUGUUUGCUUCUCGCCGUCGACCAACCAAUCUCGCCCAAUCUGUUUCCUUCUUCUUCUCGCCGUCGACCACCGUUCUCGUCAUCACUGUGACCAGCGUGCAUCAUCGGAACGUUUCUCAUAGGAAGCCCCUAGGAAGAUGGCCCGUCUUUUAUUACGGCAUGGGACAUAUGCUUAAUGACAUAACUGCUGCUUGCUGGUUCACCUAUCUAUUACUGUUCUUGAGUGAUAUUGGACUUUCACCAAGGUGCAUUUUGUGAUCAACUUUUUGUAUUUAAUUUUUUUGCACAUUUUGUCAACUAGUGUAGGUAACUUUUAUGCAACUGCUUGUUAAUUGAUGUAACUGAAAAUUGAAAAGGAAGAUUUGUUAAAGUUUCCUGCU
Cicer arietinum (chickpea) is the source of this 510-nucleotide non-coding RNA. NCBI's taxonomy places the organism in Eukaryota, Viridiplantae, Streptophyta, Magnoliopsida, Fabales, Fabaceae. The record is from RefSeq and is a predicted model, not a curated record.